This 459-nucleotide ribosomal RNA is filed under the name uncultured bacterium. Its description in RNAcentral is "partial 16S ribosomal RNA". It matches the Rfam family "Bacterial small subunit ribosomal RNA", at positions 338 to 795 of the family's 1533-position model. The record is from RNAcentral.
CCUACGGGAGGCAGCAGUGAGGAAUAUUGGUCAAUGGCCGGAAGGCUGAACCAGCCAAGCCGCGUGAGGGAGGAAGGCGCAGAGCGUCGCAGACCUCUUUUGCCGGGGGACAAAAGGCCGGACGCGUCCGGUCCUGAGGGUACCCGGAGAAUAAGCAUCGGCUAACUCCGUGCCAGCAGCCGCGGUAAUACGGAGGAUGCGAGCGUUAUCCGGAUUUAGUGGGUUUAAAGGGUGCGUAGGCGGGCCUUUAAGUCGGCGGUGAAAUCGUGGGGCUCAACCCCGCCGGGCCGUCGGAACUGGGGGCCUUGAGGGCAGCGGAGGUAUGCGGAAUGCGCGGUGUAGCGGGGAAAUGCAUAGAUAUCACGCAGAACCCCGAUUGCGAAGGCAGCGUGCCGGGCCGCCACUGACGCUGAGGCACGAAAGCGCGGGGAUCGAACAGGAUUAGAUACCCCUGUAGUC